RNAcentral lists this ribosomal RNA (588 nucleotides) under Triticum aestivum (bread wheat). Its description in RNAcentral is "partial small subunit ribosomal RNA". Lineage: Eukaryota; Viridiplantae; Streptophyta; Magnoliopsida; Poales; Poaceae. The record is from RNAcentral.
AUGGAAUUGCAGAUCUAUUUUGUUAAAGAAGAAUUACUUGUGGUCCUUAAGAACCAAAUGAUUUAUUGGAAGCAAAGAGGGAGAAUCAAAGGGGUUAAAUUUGGAGAUGAGAACACAAUUUUUUUUCACACAAAAGCAACCAUAAACCUUAGAAACAAUCACAUUGCUAUUCUUCAGAACGAUGACAAGGUGAAGAUUACUGAUCAUGAUGGAAAAUCAGCUAUUUUGUGGAAUGCUUUCAAGCAAAGACUGGGCAUGACUGAAGAAACUACUAUGCAUUUUGAUCUCCGGGAUAUUUUACAUCAACAACUUGACCAUGCCCUCUUUGAAAGUUUGGAAACUCCUUUUAUUGAUCAGGAGAUAAAUGAUGUAGUUAAGGAACUACCCAAUGACAAAUCUUCUGGUCCUGAUGGUUUCAAUAAUGAGUUCUACAAAGCUUGUUGGGGUAUCAUUGGUUCAGACAUCAGGCAACUAGUUCAUGAUUUCCAUGCAGGGAACAUCAAUUUGGAAAGCAUUAAUUCCUCAUACAUCACUCUCAUUCCAAAGGUGGAUUGCCCCAUAUCACCAAAUGACCUAUAUCCUUGCUAA